RNAcentral lists this long non-coding RNA (211 nucleotides) under Helianthus annuus (common sunflower). RNAcentral's name for it is "hypothetical non coding rna". Lineage: Eukaryota; Viridiplantae; Streptophyta; Magnoliopsida; Asterales; Asteraceae. The record is from RNAcentral.
UAUUGGCCUAACAUCUUCUUUAAGGCGGAAAAGGUUGGUAGGUCUCCUCCAUGGUAGCGGCCUUGAUAUCUUGGUUUCUUCAAUCAAUCCAAGAUUCUGUUAAUUUAGAGAAUAAAGUAAAUGAUUCAAAAUCCCGAGUGCAGACUUCUCCAUGUUAAGUGUGUAAAGAUGCAACGUCUUAAUUCCACUAGCCAUAAUUUUCUUGCACAUU